AGAGUUCAGUCCUAUGCGGGUAUCACACGACUGAUUUAUCACUCUUCACCUUUACAUCCAAAGAUCCAAAAACCCACAAUUCCGCGCAGAUCUUUUACUAUGUUCACCAUUUCUUAACUCAAUUGCGCAACGCUUUUUUGACACUACCUUGCAGCUGGAAUUUUACGAACAUGUGAAAUUUGUUUUCCCAUUGAAAAAAAGCAAAAAAAAAAAAAAUAUCAGUGACUCGAACUAUAUACCCCAAACUCGACAGUGUUACCUACACUUGGAUAAAAAAUGGCUCGAACGAUCCAAAUCGUUUUUCUUAUACUCCCGGCGAUAUGGAUGCAAGUAUCUGGAUCAUGUUUUUACGUUGACAGAGAGGAUUUGCUCGCAUAUUCUUGCAGUGGAGGCCACGUUGCUGAUUUGAAUGGAAUUCCCGAAGGAGUUGAACAACUGCACAUCUCGAGAAUGCAAAUUCCGAUAAUUACUCCGCACACCUUCUCGCGUUUCAGAGAGAGUCUUCUGGUCCUCAAGUGUUCCGAGUGCGAGAUUAAUGACAUUGAGCCAAACUCGUUCAGUCACCUGCCCUAUCUUCAGCAAUUGAGUCUGGACAAUAAUAAACUGACUUCGGUGAAAGCUUCCUGGUUGGAAGGCAUCAAAGAACUGACCUUCCUCGAUCUCACUUACAACCAGAUAGAAGAGAUCGAAGACGAGGCUUUCGAGUACCUGACUGGUGUCACUGAUCUCCGACUCUCUGGCAAUCGACUCAAGUGUCUGAAUAUUGACGCCUUGGCUCACAUGGAGAAUUUAAACAGGAUAUUCCUGAGCGAGAAUCCGGACUUUCAGUGUCCCAAUGCCGUCACCAAGUACUUAGCGGGUCGACAGGUCACUCUGCAGAAAGAUGACACCUGGAACGCAAUCGCUCAUGAUCUUGUUUCAGCGAGUGGAGCUGGUCAGAAAGAUUGGCGGAAUAGAAGACCCAGUUUUCAUCCCACUACCACCCCUUUUUGGGAAAAAUUAACUGAUGCCAGGAGACUCCCAACCACCGAAUCUCAAUGGUCCAUUUAUCUCUCGAGUUUAGAAACUAAAUCCCUAUGGCCUGCGACUACCGAAGCUGAUGUCGCUCGUCAGGAUGUGGUUCCUAAUCGAGGCAGCAGCAAAUAUACUUCCCAAUCUACUCCGCAAACUUACACGCCUCCGAUGGAAAGAAACUGGAUGACGACUCAAGCACAAACACCUUAUUGGUCUUCCGAAAGCACCACGGAAUACAUUCCAAGGUCAAGACAUCUAGACACAAAUGAUCCUACUUAUCCAACUGAAGACACGUCCAGAACAGUGGAAGUAUCGACUGAAACUGUUUACCCUGGUCCAAAAAGUGGCAAUCAGCAGUCUGUUUUUGUUCCCAGGGUUAUCUAUCCAGAAAUGGUGGAAAAUUAUCGUGAAUUUGAGGAGACCUCGACCCUUUCCAGUGCAGUAAAGUCGGAAACUGACAAGCCAUUGCCAGAUUGUCCGAGUUGUUCAUCGGCUAUUGGGGCAGUGAUGCAAGUCCUUUCCUUAUCGGUCCUUCUCUCAACUUCCAAGAUCAUCCUGGUUGCUGAUGGUCUUUAGUUUGAUGAAAAUGAGAGAACUUAGAUUUUUAAGAGCCUCUAUGUUAGACUGCAUUCUGCACUAUUAGCGAUAGUCAAAAUUUCGGUAUCGCAAGAAUGCACCGCGAGUGAUUUAGACUAAUUUCUAUGUGAUUCCGACAAUCGAUAUAGACCUGGUGCUGAUGGAAUCUGUGGUUUUAUCGCAAACCUGUGCGGGCAUUUAUAGUGAAACCUUAUGAUUCUUUGUGACUAAACUAAACUGUAGCGACACGUUUUUUUAAACGAAACAUCUAAUGAAGAAAAUUAAACCUUUCGAGGUUUUACUGGAAAUCCAAGUUGGAUGGUGGUUUCGAGAUUUGGAGGGACCCAUGCAGUUUAUUCUUGGGCCAAGGAAGCAAAGGAGGCAGAAAGAUUGGAGAAGAUGCUGAAAAUCGAAGACGAGGAGAACGCAGCUACGAACGAUUUGGCCCUCGCCAUUCAAAAUCGUAAUAAGGAC
Belonocnema kinseyi is the source of this 2064-nucleotide RNA transcript. It is a transcript of the gene named dnaJ homolog subfamily C member 9, with no coding region annotated. The record is from RefSeq and is a predicted model, not a curated record. Lineage: Eukaryota; Metazoa; Arthropoda; Insecta; Hymenoptera; Cynipidae. The transcript has 2 exons.